GUGCCAGCCGCUGCGGUAAUACGGAGGGUGCAAGCGUUAAUCGGAAUUACUGGGCGUAAAGCGCACGCAGGCGGUCUGUCAAGUCGGAUGUGAAAUCCCCGGGCUCAACCCGGGAACUGCAUUCGAAACUGGCAGGCUGGAGUCUCGUAGAGGGGGUAGAAUUCCAGGGUGUAGCGGUGAAAUGCGUAGAGAUCUGGAGGAAUACCGGUGGCGAAGGCGGCCCCCCUGGACGAAGACUGACGCUCAGGUGCGAAAGCGUGGGGAGCAAACAGGAUUAGAUACCCUGGUAGUCCACGCCGUAAACGAUGUCUAUUUGGAGGUUGUGCCCUUGAGGCGUGGCUUCCGGAGCUAACGCGUUAAAUAGACCGCCUGGGGAGUACGGCCGCAAGGUUAAAACUCAAAUGAAUUGACGGGGGCCCGCACAAGCGGUGGAGCAUGUGGUUUAAUUCGAUGCAACGCGAAGAACCUUACCUGGUCUUGACAUCCACAGAAGUUUUCAGAGAUGAGAAUGUGCCUUCGGGAACUGUAGAGACAGGUGC
RNAcentral lists this ribosomal RNA (539 nucleotides) under uncultured Enterobacter sp. RNAcentral's name for it is "bacterial SSU rRNA". It matches the Rfam family "Bacterial small subunit ribosomal RNA", at positions 505 to 1041 of the family's 1533-position model. Lineage: Bacteria; Pseudomonadati; Pseudomonadota; Gammaproteobacteria; Enterobacterales; Enterobacteriaceae. The record is from RNAcentral.